RNAcentral lists this ribosomal RNA (468 nucleotides) under uncultured bacterium. Its description in RNAcentral is "partial 16S ribosomal RNA". It matches the Rfam family "Bacterial small subunit ribosomal RNA", at positions 28 to 507 of the family's 1533-position model. The record is from RNAcentral.
GACGAACGCUGGCGGCGUGCUUAACACAUGCAAGUCGAACGGAAAGGCCCUGCUUUUGUGGGGUGCUCGAGUGGCGAACGGGUGAGUAACACGUGAGUAACCUGCCCUUGACUUUGGGAUAACUUCAGGAAACUGGGGCUACUACCGGAUAGGAGCUCCUGCUGCAUGGUGGGGGUUGGAAAGUUUCGGCGGUUGGGGAUGGACUCGCGGCUUAUCAGCUUGUUGGUGGGGUAGUGGCUUACCAAGGCAUUGACGGGUAGCCGGCCUGAGAGGGUGACCGGCGACAUUGGGACUGAGAUACGGCCCAGACGCCUACGGGAGGCAGCAGUGGGGAAUAUUGCACAAUGGGCGGAAGCCUGAUGCAGCAACGCCGCGUGCGGGAUGACGGCCUUCGGGUUGUAAACCGCUUUCGCCUGUGACGAAGCGUGAGUGACGGUAAUGGGUAAAGAAGCACCGGCUAACUACGUG